UGGGGAAUUUUCCGCAAUGGGCGAAAGCCUGACGGAGCAACGCCGCGUGAGGGAGGAAGGCUUUUGGGUUGUAAACCUCUUUUCUCAAGGAAGAUAAUGACGGUACUUGAGGAAUCAGCAUCGGCUAACUCCGUGCCAGCAGCCGCGGUAAUACGGAGGAUGCAAGCGUUAUCCGGAAUAAUUGGGCGUAAAGCGUCCGCAGGCGGCUAGUUAAGUCUGCUGUUAAAGCCCGCAGCUCAACUGCGGAUCGGCAGUGGAAACUGAUUAGCUAGAGUGCGGUAGGGGUAGAGGGAAUUCCCGGUGUAGCGGUGAAAUGCGUAGAUAUCGGGAAGAACACCAGUGGCGAAGGCGCUCUACUGGGCCGCGACUGACGCUGAGGGACGAAAGCUAGGGGAGCGAAAGGGAUUAGAUACCCCGGUAGUCC
RNAcentral lists this ribosomal RNA (424 nucleotides) under uncultured prokaryote. RNAcentral describes it as "bacterial SSU rRNA". It matches the Rfam family "Bacterial small subunit ribosomal RNA", at positions 355 to 796 of the family's 1533-position model. The record is from RNAcentral.